RNAcentral lists this ribosomal RNA (483 nucleotides) under uncultured bacterium. RNAcentral's name for it is "bacterial SSU rRNA". It matches the Rfam family "Bacterial small subunit ribosomal RNA", at positions 31 to 507 of the family's 1533-position model. The record is from RNAcentral.
GAACGCUAGCUACAGGCUUAACACAUGCAAGUCGAGGGGCAGCGCAGUGUAGCAAUACAUGGGCGGCGACCGGCGCACGGGUGCGUAACGCGUAUCCAACCUUCCCGUUACUCAGGGAUAGCCUUCCGAAAGGGAGAUUAAUACCUGAUGGUAUUCAAAUUUCGCAUGUUAUUUGAAUUAAAGUUUCGACGGAUACGGAUUGGCUCGCGUGACAUUAGCUAGAUGGUAAGGUAACGGCUUACCAUGGCGACGAUGUCUAGGGGUUCUGAGAGGAAGGUCCCCCACACUGGAACUGAGACACGGUCCAGACUCCUACGGGAGGCAGCAGUGAGGAAUAUUGGACAAUGGAUGGAAAUCUGAUCCAGCCAUGCCGCGUGAAGGAAUACGGUCCUAUGGAUUUUAAACUUCUUUUGUAUGGGAGCAAUAAGGUGUACGCGUACAUCGAUGAGAGUACCAUACGAAUAAGCAUCGGCUAACUCCGUG